UAAAGUUACUAUUCGAGUGGUGCAGUAUUCUAGUCAACCGGUCACCCCUGAAGGCGGGCCUAAAAAUCCGCUAAAGGGCGUAUCGAUGAAGUUUCUGGUGUUGGCUUGCGGAGCCCAGCCGUGGGUUGAUGCUGGAAGUUAAGGAUUGAGGGCGAUCCACAAAGGCAUGUGGGCGUUGACCCUCUUUCCGCGGAGGCCUAAGUGCGUGGCUGGAUGAGAUCGUGCAUCUGGCGAUGGCUUAGGGGAUGAACCUGCAUUCGGGGAAUGACUUGGAUGCAGCGUAGCCUGCCUUGAGUGGUAGGAUGGGGAUAUUCACUUGGUUAACGAGUGAAUUGAAAGUUCUACUGCAAAAGAGGCUAGGGGGAUGACGCAGGUUGUUGAGGAAAACUCCUAGACUGUUUGCAAGUGGCAAGGCUAUCUGGGGAUUAAAGUACGGACUAAGUGGUAAUCCAGUCCAGCGUUUGGCGACAGCGCUGAGAGAGGUUAUAAAGGGAAACCGCCUGAUUGGCAACGAUCAGGAUACCUCUUUGGGAAAUCCUACUGGACCUAAGCCGUAAAAUUUACCUGGAUAGUUACCACUCGGCUAAUACUUAAG
Molecule: small RNA, 595 nt
Filed under: Thermoflavimicrobium dichotomicum
Lineage: Bacteria; Bacillati; Bacillota; Bacilli; Caryophanales; Thermoactinomycetaceae
Source: RNAcentral